CGAACCUGGCGGCAGGCUUAACACAUGCAAGUCGAGCGGGCCCUUCGGGGUCAGCGGCGGACGGGUGAGUAACGCGUGGGAACGUGCCUUCUGGUUCGGAAUAACCCUGGGAAACUAGGGCUAAUACCGGAUACGCCCUUAUGGGGAAAGGUUUACUGCCGGAAGAUCGGCCCGCGUCUGAUUAGCUAGUUGGUGGGGUAACGGCCUACCAAGGCGACGAUCAGUAGCUGGUCUGAGAGGAUGAUCAGCCACACUGGGACUGAGACACGGCCCAGACUCCUACGGGAGGCAGCAGUGGGGAAUAUUGGACAAUGGGCGCAACUGAAUCCAGCCAUGCCGCGUGAGUGAUGAAGGCCUUAGGGUUGUAAAGCUCUUUUAUCCGGGACGAUAAUGACGGUACCGGAGGAAUAAGCCCCGGCUAACUUCGUGCCAGCAGCCGCGGUAAUACGAAGGGGCUAGCGUUGCUCGGAAUCACUGGGCGUAAAGGGCGCGUAGGCGGCGUUUUAAGUCGGGGGUGAAAGCU
Molecule: ribosomal RNA, 523 nt
Filed under: Methylobacterium sp. P15
Lineage: Bacteria; Pseudomonadati; Pseudomonadota; Alphaproteobacteria; Hyphomicrobiales; Methylobacteriaceae
Description: bacterial SSU rRNA
Rfam family: Bacterial small subunit ribosomal RNA
Source: RNAcentral